CCCAUCAAAAAACGUCUUCAACCCCUGCGAUCGCCCAAACACCGCACUGGAUUUCAGCACUAAUCAAAAAACAGCAGAUUUCCAACCUCAACAAUCAAAGUUCCGUCCCCAGACCUCCGAUGGCGUGCGUGCACACCAUGAGGCGUGAGUGCGCACAUGGCACGGCAAUCCAAAUCACGCGUGUGAGGUGCCAUCUUGCGGUCCGAGUAUAUAUGGCAACGCUGCGCAUCUACAAGCAAUCGUCGACAAUUUCCACGCUGUGCGUAAACAACAACGUUUGGAAGCAUCAAGUGAACAUAAUAACUGUAAAUAAAAACACUGUUUGUGUGAAUAAUAAAUUUUUGUGUAAGUAAUAUAACGAAA
This is a long non-coding RNA of Dalotia coriaria, 363 nucleotides long. RefSeq lists it as uncharacterized. The transcript has 2 exons. The record is from RefSeq and is a predicted model, not a curated record. NCBI's taxonomy places the organism in Eukaryota, Metazoa, Arthropoda, Insecta, Coleoptera, Staphylinidae.